This 492-nucleotide ribosomal RNA is filed under the name uncultured bacterium. Its description in RNAcentral is "partial 16S ribosomal RNA". It matches the Rfam family "Bacterial small subunit ribosomal RNA", at positions 29 to 507 of the family's 1533-position model. The record is from RNAcentral.
AGUGAACGCUGGCGGUAGGCCUAACACAUGCAAGUCGAACGGCAGCACAGUAAGAGCUUGCUCUUACGGGUGGCGAGUGGCGGACGGGUGAGGAAUACAUCGGAAUCUACUUUUUCGUGGGGGAUAACGUAGGGAAACUUACGCUAAUACCGCAUACGACCUACGGGUGAAAGCAGGGGAUCUUCGUACCUUGCGCGAUUGAAUGAGCCGAUGUCGGAUUAGCUAGUUGGCGGGGUAAAGGCCCACCAAGGCGACGAUCCGUAGCUGGUCUGAGAGGAUGAUCAGCCACACUGGAACUGAGACACGGUCCAGACUCCUACGGGAGGCAGCAGUGGGGAAUAUUGGACAAUGGGCGCAAGCCUGAUCCAGCCAUACCGCGUGGGUGAAGAAGGCCUUCGGGUUGUAAAGCCCUUUUGUUGGGAAAGAAAAGCAGCAGGUUAAUACGCCGCUGUUCUGACGGUACCCAAAGAAUAAGCACCGGCUAACUUCGUG